CAACUUCUUACUAUGAGAAAUUAAUAAACGCAACAUUUAAGCCAGUACCUGAUAGAUCAAUUAAUUUUCUGAUGUCGUUCGACUGCUUCUUUUAUUUAACACCAAAAGGGAGAGAAUUUAGAUCAAACAAGGAAACUUUAAGGAAAUUAACAAAAAAGAUAAUUGCUGAAAAAAUUCGACGACGUGAAGACGAAGAAAACACGACCGAAAUUAAUGGAAAUCGAAAAUCUCUGUUGGACUUUCUCUUGGAUGCUAGAGAUAAAAAUCCAGAACUGUCAAUUGAGAGCAUUUGCGAAGAGAUCGAAUUUU
Long non-coding RNA from Centruroides sculpturatus (bark scorpion), 309 nucleotides. RefSeq lists it as uncharacterized. Lineage: Eukaryota; Metazoa; Arthropoda; Arachnida; Scorpiones; Buthidae. The record is from RefSeq and is a predicted model, not a curated record. The transcript is spliced from 3 exons.